This 253-nucleotide ribosomal RNA is filed under the name uncultured bacterium. RNAcentral's name for it is "partial 16S ribosomal RNA". It matches the Rfam family "Bacterial small subunit ribosomal RNA", at positions 524 to 776 of the family's 1533-position model. The record is from RNAcentral.
UACAGAGGUCUCAAGCGUUGUUCGGAUUCAUUGGGCGUAAAGGGCGCGUAGGCGGUCAGGUCAGUCCCGUGUGAAAUCCCUCGGCUCAACUGAGGAACUGCACGGAAAACUGCCUGGCUUGAGUUCGGGAGAGGGAAGCGGAAUUCCGGGUGUAGCGGUGAAAUGCGUAGAUAUCCGGAGGAACACCGGUGGCGAAGGCGGCUUCCUGGACCGACACUGACGCUGAGGCGCGAAAGCUAGGGGAGCAAACGGG